RNAcentral lists this non-coding RNA (26 nucleotides) under Mus musculus (house mouse). The record is from RNAcentral. Lineage: Eukaryota; Metazoa; Chordata; Mammalia; Rodentia; Muridae.
UGCCACAAGCAAAACACCAUCUCCCC